ACGGAAGGCAGCAGUGAGGAAUAUUGGUCAAUGGGCGGAAGCCUGAACCAGCCAAGUCGCGUGAAGGAUGAAGGUAUUAUGUAUUGUAAACUUCUUUAGUCGUAGAGAAAUAAGGUGCUCGUGAGCACUGAUGCUAGUAUACGAAGAAUAAGGAUCGGCUAACUCCGUGCCAGCAGCCGCGGUAAUACGGAGGAUCCGAGCGUUAUCCGGAUUUAUUGGGUUUAAAGGGUGCGCAGGCGGCUUUUUAAGUCAGUGGUCAAAUCGUGGGGCUCAACCCCAUCCCGCCAUUGAUACUGGAGAGCUUGAUUGCGGUCGAGGUUGGCGGAAUUCGUCGUGUAGCGGUGAAAUGCAUAGAUAUGACGAAGAACACCGAUUGCGUAGGCAGCUGGCCAGGCCGUAAAUGACGCUCAUGCACGAAAGUGCGGGGAUCGAACAGGAUUAGAUACCCUGGUA
Molecule: ribosomal RNA, 453 nt
Filed under: uncultured Porphyromonadaceae bacterium
Lineage: Bacteria; Pseudomonadati; Bacteroidota; Bacteroidia; Bacteroidales; Porphyromonadaceae
Description: partial 16S ribosomal RNA
Rfam family: Bacterial small subunit ribosomal RNA
Source: RNAcentral